AGUGAACGCUGGCGGCGUGCUUAACACAUGCAAGUCGAACGAGAACGGGUUAUAGCUUGCUAUAAUUGUCAGCUAAGUAGCACACGGGUGAGUAAUGUAUAGGUAAUAUGCCUCUUACUAAGGGAUAACAAAUGGAAACGUUUGCUAAUACCUUAUACUCCUUAUUAACAUAAGUUAAUAAGGGAAAAAUUUAUUGGUAAGAGAUUAGCCUGUAUUGUAUCAGUUAGUUGGUGGGGUAAUGGCUUACCAAGACUAUGACACAUAACUGGUUUGAGAGGAUGAUCAGUCACACUGGAACUGAGACACGGUCCAGACUCCUACGGGAGGCAGCAGUGGGGAAUAUUGCACAAUGGACGAAAGUCUGAUGCAGCAACGCCGCGUGGAGGAUGACACAUUUCGGUGCGUAAACUCCUUUUAUAUGAGAAGAUAAUGACGGUAUUAUAUGAAUAAGCACCGGCUAACUCCGUGCCAGCCGCCGCCGUAA
This 484-nucleotide ribosomal RNA is filed under the name uncultured bacterium. RNAcentral describes it as "partial 16S ribosomal RNA". It matches the Rfam family "Bacterial small subunit ribosomal RNA", at positions 29 to 523 of the family's 1533-position model. The record is from RNAcentral.